UACGUAGGUGGCAAGCGUUGUCCGGAUUUACUGGGCGUAAAGGGCGUGCAGGCGGUCUGUUAAGUCUAGGGUGAAAGCUCCCGGCUCAACUGGGAGAGGUCCUUGGAUACUGGCGGACUUGAGGGAGGCAGAGGAAAGUGGAAUUCCCGGUGUAGUGGUGAUAUGCGUAGAUAUCGGGAGGAACACCAGUGGCGAAGGCGGCGAUCUGGACGGAUAUUGACGCUGAGGUGCGAAAGCGUGGGGAGCAAACAGG
Molecule: ribosomal RNA, 253 nt
Filed under: uncultured bacterium
Lineage: Bacteria
Description: partial 16S ribosomal RNA
Rfam family: Bacterial small subunit ribosomal RNA
Source: RNAcentral